RNAcentral lists this ribosomal RNA (254 nucleotides) under uncultured bacterium. RNAcentral's name for it is "partial 16S ribosomal RNA". It matches the Rfam family "Bacterial small subunit ribosomal RNA", at positions 524 to 776 of the family's 1533-position model. The record is from RNAcentral.
CACGUAGGGGGCAAGCGUUGUCCGGAUUUAUUGGGCGUAAAGAGCUCGUAGGCGGUUCGGUAAGUUGGGUGUGAAACCUCCAGGCUCAACCUGGAGACGCCACCCGAUACUGCUGUGACUAGAGUCCGGUAGGGGAGCGUGGAAUUCCUGGUGUAGCGGUGAAAUGCGCAGAUAUCAGGAGGAACACCGAUGGCGAAGACAGGUCUCUGGGCCACUACUGACGCUGAGGAGCGAAAGCAUGGGGAGCGAACAGG